CCCUUAGAUGUUCUGGGCCGCACGCGCGCUACACUGAUGCAUUCAACGAGUCUAAAACCUGCUCUGAUAGGGGUGGGUAAUCUUUUGAAUGUGCAUCGUGAUUGGGAUAGAUGAUUGCAAUUUUUCAUCUUCAACGAGGAAUGCCUAGUAAACGCAAGUCAUCAGCUUGCAUUGAUUACGUCCCUGCCCUUUGUUCACACCGCCCGUCGCUCCUACCGAUUGAAUGAUCCGAUGAAUAUCAUGGAUUGAGGAUGCAAGUAGGUUCGCCUAUCUUCAUCUUCGAGAAGUGAAGUAAAUCUUAUCAUUUAGAGGAAGGAGAAGUCGUAACA
This 329-nucleotide ribosomal RNA is filed under the name uncultured eukaryote. RNAcentral's name for it is "partial 18S ribosomal RNA". It matches the Rfam family "Eukaryotic small subunit ribosomal RNA", at positions 1470 to 1796 of the family's 1831-position model. The record is from RNAcentral.